This 467-nucleotide ribosomal RNA is filed under the name uncultured bacterium. Its description in RNAcentral is "partial 16S ribosomal RNA". It matches the Rfam family "Bacterial small subunit ribosomal RNA", at positions 28 to 507 of the family's 1533-position model. The record is from RNAcentral.
GAUGAACGCUGGCGGCGCGCCUAACACAUGCAAGUCGAACGAUUAAAGCACCUUCGGGUGUGUAUAAAGUGGCGAACGGCUGAGUAACACGUGGGCAACCUGCCCCUCUCACUGGGAUAGCCACGGGAAACCGUGGAUAAUACCGAAUACUUCGGGACUUCCGCAUGGAAGACUCGAGAAAGCUCCGGCGGAGAGGGAUGGGCCCGCGGCCUGUUAGCUUGUUGGUGGGGUAAUGGCCUACCGAGGCAAUGAUGGGUAGCUGGGUUGAGAGACCGACCAGCCAGAUUGGGACUGAGACACGGCCCAGACUCCUACGGGAGGCAGCAGUGGGGAAUCUUGCACAAUGGGCGAAAGCCUGAUGCAGCGACGCCGCGUGCGGGAUGAAGGCCUUCGGGUUGUAAACCGCUUUCAGCAGGGACGAGGCGAAAGUGACGGUACCUGCAGAAGAAGCCCCGGCUAACUACGUG